AAACAGGUUAAUAUUCCUGUACUUGGUGUUACUGCGAAGGGGGGACGGAGAAGGCUAUGUUAGCCGGGCGACGGUUGUCCCGGUUUAAGCAUGUAGGCUGGUUGUCCAGGCAAAUCCGGAUAAUCAAGGCUGAGGUGUGAUGACGAGGCACUACGGUGCUGAAGUAACAAAUGCCCUGCUUCCAGGAAAAGCCUCUAAGCAUCAGGU
Molecule: ribosomal RNA, 207 nt
Filed under: Klebsiella pneumoniae
Lineage: Bacteria; Pseudomonadati; Pseudomonadota; Gammaproteobacteria; Enterobacterales; Enterobacteriaceae
Description: partial 23S ribosomal RNA
Rfam family: Bacterial large subunit ribosomal RNA
Source: RNAcentral